Oncorhynchus keta (chum salmon) is the source of this 3116-nucleotide long non-coding RNA. RefSeq lists it as uncharacterized. The transcript has 6 exons. The record is from RefSeq and is a predicted model, not a curated record. NCBI's taxonomy places the organism in Eukaryota, Metazoa, Chordata, Actinopteri, Salmoniformes, Salmonidae.
GCCAAUUGUGACUUUAAAACAGUUACAGAGUUUAAUGGCUAUGAUAUGAGAAAACUGAGGAUAUCAACAACAUUGAAGUUACUUCACAAUACUAACCUGACAGAGUGAAAAGGAAGGCUGUACACAUUAAACAUAUUCUAAAAUAUGCAUCCUGUUUGCAACAAGGCACUCAAGUGAUAUUGCUUUGCCACAUAUUUUGCAGUUCGCUUUUUGCCCUGAAUACAAAGUGUUACAUUUGAGGCAAAUCCAAUACAAAAUAUUACUGAGUACCACUUUCCAUAUUUUCCAUCAUAGUGGUGGCUGCUUACGGACUGGGGAGUUUUUCCAGGAUAAAAAAGAAACAGAAUGGACCUAAGCACAGGCAAAAUCCUAGAGUGAAACCUGGUUCAGUCUGAUUUCCAGUGGAAGAUGAAUUCUCCUUUCAUAAGGACAAUAUUCUAAAACACAAAGCCAAAUCUAAACUUAAGUUGCUUGACAAGAAGACAAUAAAGGUGGCCGAGUUUUGGCUUAAAUCUGCUUGAAAAUCUAUGGCAAGACCUGAAAAUGGUUGUCUAGGGAUGAUCGACAAACAAUUUGACAGAGCUUGAAGAGUUAUGAAAAGAAUGAUGGGCAAAUGUUGCACCAUCCAGGUGAGGAAAGCUCUGAGAGACAUACCCAGAAAUACUCACAGCUGUAAUCAAUGCCAAAGGUGCUUCUACAAUGUAUUGACUCCAGGGUGUGAAUACUUAUGUAAAUGAGAUAUUUCUGUAUUUCAUUUCCAAUACAGUUGCAAAAAAAAAAAAAAACAUGUUUUCACUUUGAGAUUAUGGGGUAUUGUGUACUUGCAAAAGGUACUCUAGAUUGUCUUUUGACUCAAGAGCUCCUGAAUAUGGCCAAAAAAAUGAACUAAACAAUACUAAAGGAAAACUCCACUCAUAAACUAUAUUUUUGUAUUUUUUCAUUACUGUUAAUACAGUCCCACAAUGUUUUGCCUGAUAGCAGUCAGGUUGUCAAGAGAUUGGACUUUCAAGAAGCAAAGUGUCACUUGCCACAUCGUCAUGAUUAAGCAAAACACAUCAUAUGAAGAAAAACGCAUCAUUAUGAUGUGGCAAGUGACACUUUGGACUCCUGAAAAAAACAACAUAAGAUUUGUUAUAGUGGUUGCUCUAUAUAAAAGGAAAAAUCCACUCAAAAACAAUCUGUAAACUAUGAAAUAUGACUGUUUUCACAAAGAGAUACAUCUUCUAAACAUGGAGAGGAAUGGCAUCAGAACCCAAAGAGGAUGUAUGACCCACUGUAUUUAACGGCCCCACCUCAAACAGUUCAUAGCUAGCAGGUUGGCACCAGACAGCACUGACAGUUCAUAGCUAGCAGGUUGGCACCAGACAGCACUGACAGUUCAUAGCUAGCAGGUUGGCACCAGACAGCACUGACAGUUCAUAGCUAGCAGGUUGGCACCAGACAGCACUGACAGUUCAUAGCUAGCAGGUUGGCACCAGACAGCACUGACAGUUCAUAGCUAGCAGGUUGGCACCAGACAGCACUGACAGUUCAUAGCUAGCAGGUUGGCACCAGACAGCACUGACAGUUCAUAGCUAGCAGGUUGGCACCAGACAGCACUGACAGUUCAUAGCUAGCAGGUUGGCACCAGACAGCACUGACAGUUCAUAGCUAGCAGGUUGGCACCAGACAGCACUGACAGUUCAUAGCUAGCAGGUUGGCACCAGACAGCACUGACAGUUCAUAGCUAGCAGGUUGGCACCAGACAGCACUGACAGUUCAUAGCUAGCAGGUUGGCACCAGACAGCACUGACAGUUCAUAGCUAGCAGGUUGGCACCAGACAGCACUGACAGUUCAUAGCUAGCAGGUUGGCACCAGACAGCACUGACAGUUCAUAGCUAGCAGGUUGGCACCAGACAGCACUGACAGUUCAUAGCUAGCAGGUUGGCACCAGACAGCACUGACAGUUCAUAGCUAGCAGGUUGGCACCAGACAGCACUGACAGUUCAUAGCUAGCAGGUUGGCACCAGACAGCACUGACAGUUCAUAGCUAGCAGGUUGGCACCAGACAGCACUGACAGUUCAUAGCUAGCAGGUUGGCACCAGACAGCACUGACAGUUCAUAGCUAGCAGGUUGGCACCAGACAGCACUGACAGUUCAUAGCUAGCAGGUUGGCACCAGACAGCACUGACAGUUCAUAGCUAGCAGGUUGGCACCAGACAGCACUGACAGUUCAUAGCUAGCAGGUUGGCACCAGACAGCACUGACAGUUCAUAGCUAGCAGGUUGGCACCAGACAGCACUGACAGUUCAUAGCUAGCAGGUUGGCACCAGACAGCACUGACAGUUCAUAGCUAGCAGGUUGGCACCAGACAGCACUGACAGUUCAUAGCUAGCAGGUUGGCACCAGACAGCACUGACAGUUCAUAGCUAGCAGGUUGGCACCAGACAGCACUGACAGUUCAUAGCUAGCAGGUUGGCACCAGACAGCACUGACAGUUCAUAGCUAGCAGGUUGGCACCAGACAGCACUGACAGUUCAUAGCUAGCAGGUUGGCACCAGACAGCACGAACAGUUCAUAGCUAGGAGGGUGGCACCAGACCAGUUAACAGCACUACGGCUGUACCUCACCCUCGCUUUGGAAAAUCUGACCAUAAGUCUAUCCUCCUGAUUCCUGCUUAUAAGUGUCGUGGAAAUUCUUACACAGGGACACUCGAAGUCAAUCUUAUGUGAGCAGACCAAGUCUUUUUAGGUUGCUCCAAAACGGAAAGGUGGAAUAAAUGAGUCGAGAGCAGGUUCUUACAUUGAACAAAAUUAUCUUUUGAGGUAUUUUCUCUUAAAACAAACACUCCCACACAAUCAAGGAUGAUCUCACAAGGAUAACACAAAUCAUCUUCUUUGCAGGAAUAAGUAACACAACGUGAGUAACUUUUAACUAUAAACAUAAAUCACAGGUGUGUCAGCGCCUUAACUAUCAGUUAGAUGAGAGCUCCUUUCAGGUGGUGGUGCGGAUCUAUGGUUGCUAUUCCCAAGAGGUAGUUUGUCCUCUUCCUCUCCAAAUCGUCAGGUAAAUCAUCCCCUUUGGAGAAUCAAUCACUCUUUUUUCCAGCCAGUCUCCCCCUGCCAGUUCCCUCCU